AACGAACGCUGGCGGCAGGCUUAACACAUGCAAGUCGAACGCCCCGCAAGGGGAGUGGCAGACGGGUCAGUAACGCGUGGGAAUCUACCGUGCCCUACGGAACAACAGUUGGAAACGACUGUUAAUACCGUAUACGCCCUACGGGGGAAAGAUUUAUCGGGGUAUGAUGAGCCCGCGUUGGCGUAGCUAGUUGGUGGGGUAAAGGCCUACCAAGGCGACGAUCCAUAGCUGGUCUGAGAGGAUGAUCAGCCACAUUGGGACUGAGACACGGCCCAAACUCCUACGGGAGGCAGCAGUGGGGAAUAUUGGACAAUGGGCGCAAGCCUGAUCCAGCCAUGCCGCGUGAGUGAUGAAGGUCUUAGGAUUGUAAAGCUCUUUCACCGACGAAGAUAAUGACGGUAGUCGAAGAAGAAGCCCCGGCUAACUUCGUGCCAGCCGCCGCAGUAA
This 447-nucleotide ribosomal RNA is filed under the name uncultured bacterium. RNAcentral's name for it is "partial 16S ribosomal RNA". It matches the Rfam family "Bacterial small subunit ribosomal RNA", at positions 29 to 523 of the family's 1533-position model. The record is from RNAcentral.